GCCGGGCGAGGUGGCGCACGCCUGUAGUUCCAGAUACUCGGGAGGCUGAGAGACGAGGAUCGCUUGAGUCCAGGAGUACUGGGCUGUAGUGAGCUAUGCCGACAGGGUGUCCGCACUAAGUUCGACAUCAAUAUGGAUAUGGUGACCUCCCGGGAGCAGGGGACCACCAGGUUGCCCAAGGAGGGGUGAACCAACCCAGGCUGGAAACAGCAGGUCAAAACUCCGGUGCUGAACAACUAUACCCAUGCUUCCAAACGCAUCUCUGCUCAUGGCGCCCACAUCCUGGCCAUCAUGCCCACUGACAUCUCC
Unclassified non-coding RNA from Cricetulus griseus (Chinese hamster), 309 nucleotides. It matches the Rfam family "Metazoan signal recognition particle RNA". Rfam says of the family: The signal recognition particle (SRP) is a universally conserved ribonucleoprotein. It is involved in the co-translational targeting of proteins to membranes. The eukaryotic SRP consists of a 300-nucleotide 7S RNA and six proteins: SRPs 72, 68, 54, 19, 14, and 9. NCBI's taxonomy places the organism in Eukaryota, Metazoa, Chordata, Mammalia, Rodentia, Cricetidae. The record is from Ensembl.